GAUGAACGCUGGCGGCGCGCCUAACACAUGCAAGUCGAACGAUUAAAGCACCUUUGGGAGCGUAUACAGUGGCGAACGGCGGAGUAACACCUGAGCAACCUGCAACUUUCAUUGAGCUAGCCACGUAAAACGGUGGAUCAUACCGAAAACUUCGAUACUUCCGCAUGACAUACCCGAGAAACAUCCGGCGGCGAGGGAUGGGCCCGCGGCCUGUUAGAUUGUUGGUGCGGUAACGGCAUACCAAGGCAAUGCUGGGUAGCUGGGUUGAGAGGCGGACCAGCCAGAUUGGGACUGAGAUGCGGCCCGGACUCCUACGGGAGGCAGCAGAGGAGAGUCGAAUACUGUGGGAGAAAGCCUGAUGCAGCGACGCGGCGUGGGGGAUGAAGGCCUUCGGGUUGUAAACCGCAUCCAGCAGGGACGAGGCGAAAGUGACGGUACCUGCAGAAGAAGCCCCGGCUAAAUACGUG
Molecule: ribosomal RNA, 467 nt
Filed under: uncultured bacterium
Lineage: Bacteria
Description: partial 16S ribosomal RNA
Rfam family: Bacterial small subunit ribosomal RNA
Source: RNAcentral